This 274-nucleotide ribosomal RNA is filed under the name uncultured bacterium. Its description in RNAcentral is "partial 16S ribosomal RNA". It matches the Rfam family "Bacterial small subunit ribosomal RNA", at positions 523 to 796 of the family's 1533-position model. The record is from RNAcentral.
AUACGGAGGGUGCAAGCGUUGUUCGGAAUUACUGGGCGUAAAGCGCGCGUAGGCGGUCUGUUAUGUCAGAUGUGAAAGUCCUCGGCUCAACCGGGGAAGUACAUUUGAAACUGGCAGACUUGAGUACUGGAGGGGGUGGUGGAAUUCCCGGUGUAGAGGUGAAAUUCGUAGAUAUCGGGAGGAAUACCGGUGGCGAAGGCGACCACCUGGCCAGAUACUGACGCUGAGGUGCGAAAGCGUGGGGAGCAAACAGGAUUAGAAACCCCUGUAGUCC